This 450-nucleotide ribosomal RNA is filed under the name uncultured bacterium. RNAcentral describes it as "partial 16S ribosomal RNA". It matches the Rfam family "Bacterial small subunit ribosomal RNA", at positions 29 to 523 of the family's 1533-position model. The record is from RNAcentral.
AACGAACGCUGGCGGCAGGCCUAACACAUGCAAGUCGAGCGCCCGGAUUUAUCCGGGAGCGGCGCACGGGUGAGUAACGCGUGGGAACAUGCCCUGAAGUACGGAACAACUGGGGAAACCUUUGCUAAUACCGUAUACGCCCUGAGGGGGAAAGAUUUAUCGCUUUGGGAUUGGCCCGCGGUGGAUUAGCUGGUUGGUGUGGUAACGGCGCACCAAGGCGACGAUCCAUAACUGGUCUGAGAGGAUGACCAGUCACACUGGGACUGAGACACUGACCAGACUCCUACGGGAGGCAGCAGUGGGGAAUAUUGGACAAUGGGCGAAAGCCUGAUCCAGCCAUGCCGCGUGAGUGAAGAAGGCCUUCGGGUUGUAAAGCUCUUUCAGCGGGGACGAUGAUGACGGUACCCGCAGAAGAAGCCCCGGCUAACUUCGUGCCAGCAGCCGCCGCGG